GAUGAACGCUGGCGGCGUGCCUAAUACAUGCAAGUCGAGCGAACGGACGAGAAGCUUGCUUCUCUGAUGUUAGCGGCGGACGGGUGAGUAACACGUGGAUAACCUACCUAUAAGACUGGGAUAACUUCGGGAAACCGGAGCUAAUACCGGAUAAUAUUUUGAACCGCAUGGUUCAAAAGUGAAAGACGGUCUUGCUGUCACUUAUAGAUGGAUCCGCGCUGCAUUAGAUAGUUGGUAAGGUAACGGCUUACCAAGGCAACGAUGCAUAGCCGACCUGAGAGGGUGAUAGGCCACACUGGAACUGAGACACGGUCCAGACUCCUACGGGAGGCAGCAGUAGGGAAUCUUCCGCAAUGGGCGAAAGCCUGACGGAGCAACGCCGCGUGAGUGAUGAAGGUCUUCGGAUCGUAAAACUCUGUUAUUAGGGAAGAACAUAUGUGUAAGUAACUGUGCACAUCUUGACGGUACCUAAUCAGAAAGCCACGGCUAACUACGUG
RNAcentral lists this ribosomal RNA (497 nucleotides) under uncultured bacterium. RNAcentral describes it as "partial 16S ribosomal RNA". It matches the Rfam family "Bacterial small subunit ribosomal RNA", at positions 28 to 507 of the family's 1533-position model. The record is from RNAcentral.